GACAGAGGCCUCAAGCGUUAGGCGGAAUCACUGGGCUUAAAGCGUGUGUAGGCGGACUUCUAAGUGCCUUGUGAAAUCCCACGGCUCAACCGUGGAACUGCCGGGCAUACUGGGAGUCUUGGGCCAUUCAGGGGCAACUGGAACAAGCGGUGGAGCGGUGAAAUGCGCAGAUAUCAGGAGGAACACCGAUGGCGAAGGCAGGUCUCUGGGCAUUAACUGACGCUGAGGAGCGAAAGCAUGGGGAGCGAACAGG
This 253-nucleotide ribosomal RNA is filed under the name uncultured bacterium. RNAcentral's name for it is "partial 16S ribosomal RNA". It matches the Rfam family "Bacterial small subunit ribosomal RNA", at positions 524 to 776 of the family's 1533-position model. The record is from RNAcentral.